AUGCAAAAAAUACUGCAGGAGCAACGUAAUUGGAAUCAUACAGAGAAGAUGCUCAUAGCUCCUGUACUAGAAUGAUAUGCAAAUUUGUGAAAGCAUUCCAUAUUUUU
Molecule: small nuclear RNA, 107 nt
Filed under: Dasypus novemcinctus (nine-banded armadillo)
Lineage: Eukaryota; Metazoa; Chordata; Mammalia; Cingulata; Dasypodidae
Source: RNAcentral